Molecule: long non-coding RNA, 212 nt
Organism: Poecile atricapillus (Black-capped chickadee)
Lineage: Eukaryota; Metazoa; Chordata; Aves; Passeriformes; Paridae
Exons: 3
Source: RefSeq, a predicted model, not a curated record
CUGGUGUCACCUGCUUUCACCCCGUGUCACCUGCUGACACCUGUCACCUGUUACCUGUCACCUUGUGUCACCUCUCCUCUGUCCCCAGAUGUCCCCAGGUGUAUCCCAGGUGUGUCCAGGUGUGUCCAGGUGUACUCAGGUGUGUUCAGGUGUGUCCAGGUGUACCCAGGUGUUACUCAGGUGUGUCCAGGUGUACCCCAGGUGUGUCCAGG